Molecule: long non-coding RNA, 302 nt
Organism: Tupaia belangeri chinensis (Chinese tree shrew)
Lineage: Eukaryota; Metazoa; Chordata; Mammalia; Scandentia; Tupaiidae
Exons: 3
Source: RefSeq, a predicted model, not a curated record
GAGCCUUCCUUUUAUGCUCGAAAAAGCAGCCCACGUGAUGACUGACUUCAGGGCGGUCCGCCCCCUCCUCCUCGUCUCUAAAAUUGCAUGGAGCUACGUCCGAGGCAGAUGCUGACAGAUUGAUGCUAAAAACCUGGGCCCUAGACACCCCAAUUUCUGGAUAACUUGGCUACUGGAUGAUCCCUGCAUCCUGUCUCCCACCGUUCUCGGCUACUUCCGGAGGUUUUUGCUACAAGGCGCUUGCGCUCAACAGAAGGACUGAGACAGAUAAACAGAAAGCGAGAAAUCACCUCCCAGAGGGG